AAAAAAAGCAACCAAGCUCAGAGAGAACCAAGAACCUCACAGGAGAAAGUCAAAUAAUAUGGGGAACUAUUCUGUGUGUUGUUCCUCUAUUCCCCCAUGUCCUUUUCUGAACAUUUUACGUUUACAGCUUCAGCAAAAAGACAGUCCCUCUUAAGUCCCAUCGAGAACAAUUUCCAGAGUGAGGAUCUAUAAAGCCCGGAGCCUUAUCAGUUUUUAAAGACAAACAAAAACUUAAGGUGACAGAAAUAUUUCAGGAGCUAAUUAGUAUUUCAAAAAAUGGAUGAAGAGGAACAUCUCAGACCUGUGAAAAAUUAAAAAAAAAAAUAGGAUGAUGAAUUUCUGUCUCUCAAAAAACGUGUGUCUUGAAUUAGUCCCUAAAGGUCUGUUAAAGCUCUUUCAUGCUUUGAUGGGAUUCAGAGGGAUUGAAGUGGCGGGACGUAAGCCUUUAUCUUAUUACCAAUUUUUUCUCUCUGCCGGUGCCUCGCUUUUCAGCUAAGUUGUGUCAUGUCUUCACACCACAUGGUUGGUCUUUGCAGGAACACCCACAUCAUGUGAAAUGAUGAGGUUUGAAAAUGCUACCUUUCCCGUGCACUAAGGACAACCUGCAGUGUCGCGCUAUCAUCGGGGCAGGUUGUACGAAUGCAGCUACCGUCUUGCUAGUGAAUGAUCCUGGCUAAUCCCCUCAGAGACCUCUUCCAGAAGGAACUGGAUAAACAUCCUUGGACAAAUAACCUGAAAUUGCAUAGAGAGAGAGAGAGCGGAGAAAGUUGGUCUCCUCAUCGUCAUAAUUCUAUAUAAUUUGAGACUUCCCUGAGGAAACCAACUGAUAUUAUUUUUAGGCAAAGCAAAAUAAAAUUUCUUUACAUAGCACAAAACUGGCAGCGGGAUUUUGUCCAUUUGAUUGUUCCACCUGUGCAGGAGUGGUGCAGCCGUGGCCGAGAGGUGGAGACCUCACCUCACAAUCAGGAGGCGAUCCUGGGCAGAGACAUCCGUUCACACAACCAUAAAAGUAUUUGCAGAAUAGUCGAAGCCCAUCACAAUGGACUAGAAUUCAAACUACCAAGUUUAUUACAGCUGUCCAAUUUGAGGAUUUAUUGGUCUUACCUGGAGAACGCUUUGGGGAAGGCUAAAUUAAUCCGAAAUUUUUGUGCCCUUUGA
RNAcentral lists this long non-coding RNA (1158 nucleotides) under Naja naja (Indian cobra). Its description in RNAcentral is "lncRNA (ENSNNAG00000008380.1)". The record is from RNAcentral. Lineage: Eukaryota; Metazoa; Chordata; Lepidosauria; Squamata; Elapidae.